This 517-nucleotide ribosomal RNA is filed under the name uncultured Glomus. Its description in RNAcentral is "SSU rRNA". It matches the Rfam family "Eukaryotic small subunit ribosomal RNA", at positions 569 to 1089 of the family's 1831-position model. The record is from RNAcentral. Lineage: Eukaryota; Fungi; Glomeromycota; Glomeromycetes; Glomerales; Glomeraceae.
AGCAGCCGCGGUAAUUCCAGUUCCAAUAGCGUAUAUUAAAGUUGUUGCAGUUAAAAAGCUCGUAGUUGAAUUUCGGGGUCAGCAAGUUGGUCGUGCCACUGGUAUGCACUGGCUUUGCUGAUUCCUCCUUCUUGAAGAACUGUAAUGCUAUUAAUUUAGUGUUGCAGGGAAACAGGACUGUUACUUUGAAAAAUUAGAGUGUUUAAAGCAGGCUAACGCUUGAAUACAUUAGCAUGGAAUAAUGAAAUAGGACGUUUGAUCCUAUUUUGUUGGUUUCUAGGAUUGACGUAAUGAUUAAUAGGGAUAGUUGGGGGCAUUAGUAUUCAAUUGUCAGAGGUGAAAUUCUUGGAUUUAUUGAAGACUAACUACUGCGAAAGCAUUUGCCAAGGAUGUUUUCAUUAAUCAAGAACGAAAGUUAGGGGAUCGAAGACGAUCAGAUACCGUCGUAGUCUUAACCAUAAACUAUGCCGACUAGGGAUCGGAUGAUGUUAAUUUUUAAUGACUCAUUCGGCGUCCG